AUCCUGGCUCAGGAUGAACGCUAGCUACAGGCUUAACACAUGCAAGUCGAGGGGCAGCAUGACGAUAGCUUGCUAUGUGAUGGCGACCGGCGCACGGGUGAGUAACGCGUAUCCAACCUGCCCAUUACUCAGGUAUAGCCCAGUGAAAACUGGAUUAAUCCCUGAUGUGGUCUCGUGCAGACAUCUAAGCGAGACUAAAGUUUCAACGGUAAUGGAUGGGGGAUGCGUCUGAUUAGCUUGUUGGCGGGGUAACGGCCCACCAAGGCGACGAUCAGUAGGGGUUCUGAGAGGAAGGUCCCCCACAUUGGAACUGAGACACGGUCCAAACUCCUACGGGAGGCAGCAGUGAGGAAUAUUGGUCAAUGGACGGAAGUCUGAACCAGCCAAGUAGCGUGCAGGAUGACGGCCCUAUGGGUUGUAAACUGCUUUUGUGCGGGAAUAAAGAAGGGGACGUGUCCUCUGUUGCAUGUACCGCACGAAUAAGGACCGGCUAAUUCCGUGCCAGCCGCCGC
This 512-nucleotide ribosomal RNA is filed under the name uncultured bacterium. Its description in RNAcentral is "bacterial SSU rRNA". It matches the Rfam family "Bacterial small subunit ribosomal RNA", at positions 16 to 518 of the family's 1533-position model. The record is from RNAcentral.